UUCUAGUCAAUGACUCAGCAGCUUUUCAUAAUCACGUUGGGCCUACAAACAUCUUUGCCGGGUGGUGGUGGCCUAUAUUUUAUAAAAGGCUUGGAAUUUGAAUGCUCAGUUCAGUGUUGCUAAGCCAUAGGUGCCCGUUCAGUUACGAUCUAAUCUAGAGAUCUAGGCCCUAUUUCUUGAAUUUAUUGGACAGCCUACCUGUUCGCCUUUGGUCUGAAAUCAUGGUUGUGAGAGUACAUAUUGUAUAUUGUGGUGCCUGAGGGUACAAACCCAGGUAUAAUGCUUUGCGGGAACAACUCUAUGAUGAGUUUACCCGCGACCAGAUUGAAGUUACUGGUGAGGGCACCCCAGGCGCCACCGGUUUCUUCGAGGUAACAGUUGCGGGAAAAUUAGUCUUCUCAAAGAAGAAUGGUGAUGGCUACCCCGAUAGACCUCAGAAGGUUAACAAAAUUGUGAAUGCCAUCCAGUCAGCCUUGUAGGCACCCUAUGCAGCUUGGCAUCUCAGGUCUGUUCACUUGAACAACAGCAGAGGAUGACGUCCGCAUAUGACUGUACUUGAUUAAAGACAAUAACUUUGUAAAGGUCAAGGUCACGAUUUUUCUCAGAUGGUCUUCUCUGCAUUGGUUUGACUGCUCAGGUGUGAUUGAUGUAAAGCUGCAGUACCUUUAUUUAUGACAGGAUCACUAUUGGUACAUCUUUGUAACUUAAAAUAGGGUUCUGUCCAAACGUUUCUUCUUUUAUUCUCAUGUCUAUGCAGUAGAAGUGUUGAUAUUAAUUUUUUUGGGGGGGGUAGUUUUUAAUACAAUCUUUUCAUAAUGGGGAAGAUUCUGUUCCAAAAUCUUAAAAGAUAAAAUUUGGUUUGGCUCAUGCUCUGCAUUAGAUAAACCUUCCACAAGAAAUUUUGAAGUUUUAUGAUUUAAAUAAAUGAUUAUAUGAACUAGCCAAAGUGCAAAAUGAAAAAGUGAAAUAUGAACAAGCAAAAGUGUAAUGAAAGACUUUAAUGAAGGCUUAUUUUUAGUAAAGCAGCCAUAGUAACAAAGUUAUGGCAGUGACCAUUUGAUUGAUACAUACAUGAUACAUAUUGUUGAGAAUUUCACUACUUUUUUUAAAUUAUUUUUUUUUCUCCAUUUUUAUUAGGUUUCUUAUUGAGUAAAGAGAUGUUCUUGUGGCUAAUUACAAUACUCUUCCGGCUAUUUUACCAUGCUCCUCGUUUUGUCACUAAAGAUUUUUUAAAAUGUCAGUGGACCUAGUUUUUUCUCUUUUGUAUUUCAAAAAAUUGAAUUCAACAUGGAAAUUCCCUUUUGUUAUUGCAUUGAGACUUCACAUGUGAACUGCUUUUCUAAUCAUGACAGUUCAUUAAAGAAUCUCUUUUGUCCAUCGGGUAGUUCAGAUUUUCCUAGGAAUAUUCUCUCCCUGCUUCUUUCAUUGAUCUCUUGUUUGUACUUUUAUGUUACCACAUUAUUGCAAUUGCAAUGCACAGUGCUAUUUACAUCUUUGUUGUUUCAGUUGUGUGAACGGUCAAGAGUAGUUCCUUUUUAUUUAACCAACUAGCAUAAUUUUUGUAAUUCUUGUGGACAAUAUCAGGGUAUCACUUGGAAAUUAUAGAAGGCACCGUGCACUUGAUUCCCAUAGAGAAAAUUUUAUCAUGACAUUUUGUGCACUUAGAUCCUAUUCUUGAUUUAGUGAGAGUUUUUGUGCCACGCCUUCAUUAGAUCUUUUAAAGUAAUGUAUUGAUGAUUUCUGUGGUGAUGCGAAACUUAUCAAACCAGGAAGUACGUUGAUUCUGACCAGGGGAAUUAAGUUUGUUACCUUAAAUUUGAUCCAGAAAAGCUUUGAAAAAGUUACAGCAUUAUUCCAUAAAUGAAGUUAGUUCCCCAAGAAAGGGUUUUUUCUAGAAUAUAAAAUACCCUGAUUUGUGUGAAGGAAUAUGGAUGUGUGUCUUUAAUGAGUGAGACACUUUCUCUUCUUUGUUUUGUAACUGCAAUAGUGCUCCUUUUCUUUUGCGUUGUGAAGAAAGAUUGCCUCAACUGUUGUUGUUUUUUCUUGGAGAAAGUUAUUGUACAAGUACUGAAAGUACUCAUGUCUAGAUCACUGACAAUGGAAGGGGGUUUAUGUGUGAGUGGGAAGAAGACAUGUGGAUGUAUGUGUGGAAUAUUGAUGGAUAGUAUCAGAAAAGGAAGAAUGGAUCAAAUAUUAUUUGUUUGAAGAAACAGCUUUUGUGUUUGAGUUAGUGAAAAAGAAAAAUCAUCUGUGUCUUUCGAUUUAUAUGUCAACAAUUAUUUUUAGAUUGACCAGUUCAGUCAUGAUUAAGGUAAAAUGUUGGGUCUGAGAUCUAUGAGUACCAAGUCUUUGGUCAGUCCUGGUAAAGCUUGUUUUUAUGUUUUGUUUUUCAUUGAAAUUUAUGUUCUCCCAUCACUCACCAUUUAUCCUCACAUUGUCAAUAAAGGCGUGAAAAAAAUGUUGACAACCAUG
Molecule: long non-coding RNA, 2472 nt
Organism: Aplysia californica (California sea hare)
Lineage: Eukaryota; Metazoa; Mollusca; Gastropoda; Aplysiida; Aplysiidae
Exons: 6
Source: RefSeq, a predicted model, not a curated record